Molecule: ribosomal RNA, 468 nt
Filed under: uncultured bacterium
Lineage: Bacteria
Description: partial 16S ribosomal RNA
Rfam family: Bacterial small subunit ribosomal RNA
Source: RNAcentral
GAUGAACGCUGGCGGCGUGCUUAACACAUGCAAGUCGAACGGUGAAGGCGGAGCUUGCUCUGCUGGAUCAGUGGCGAACGGGUGAGUAACACGUGAGCAAUCUGCCCCUGACUCUGGGAUAAGCGCUGGAAACGGCGUCUAAUACUGGAUACGAGCUGCGAAGGCAUCUUCAGCAGCUGGAAAGAAUUUCGGUCAGGGAUGAGCUCGCGGCCUAUCAGCUUGUUGGUGAGGUAAUGGCUCACCAAGGCGUCGACGGGUAGCCGGCCUGAGAGGGUGACCGGCCACACUGGGACUGAGACACGGCCCAGACUCCUACGGGAGGCAGCAGUGGGGAAUAUUGCACAAUGGGCGAAAGCCUGAUGCAGCAACGCCGCGUGAGGGACGACGGCCUUCGGGUUGUAAACCUCUUUUAGCAGGGAAGAAGCGAAAGUGACAGUACCUGCAGAAAAAGCGCCGGCUAACUACGUG